GGUGGCUUAGCUCAGUUGGUAGAGCGUUCGACCGAUAAUCGAAAGGUCCCUGGUUCGAAACCAGGAGUCACCACCA
This 76-nucleotide transfer RNA is filed under the name Epibacterium sp. DP7N7-1. RNAcentral's name for it is "tRNA-Ile". It matches the Rfam family "tRNA". From Rfam's summary of the family: Transfer RNA (tRNA) molecules are approximately 80 nucleotides in length. Their secondary structure includes four short double-helical elements and three loops (D, anti-codon, and T loops). Further hydrogen bonds mediate the characteristic L-shaped molecular structure. tRNAs have two regions of fundamental functional importance: the anti-codon, which is responsible for specific mRNA codon recognition, and the 3' end, to which the tRNAs corresponding amino acid is attached (by aminoacyl-tRNA synthetases). tRNAs cope with the degeneracy of the genetic code in two manners: having more than one tRNA (with a specific anti-codon) for a particular amino acid; and 'wobble' base-pairing, i.e. permitting non-standard base-pairing at the 3rd anti-codon position. The record is from RNAcentral. Lineage: Bacteria; Pseudomonadati; Pseudomonadota; Alphaproteobacteria; Rhodobacterales; Roseobacteraceae.